GCAGACACAUUCCAGCCAAUCAGCAGCAGACCCUCCCUCCCAGACCCUCCCACCUCCUGGACAGCAUCCAUUUUGAAGCUGCAUUCUUAGUGAGCUGUCCAGGAGGUGGGAGGGUGUGGGAGGGAGGGUCUGUUGCUGAUUGGCUGGAAUGUGUCUG
Pelobates cultripes (western spadefoot toad) is the source of this 157-nucleotide non-coding RNA. The record is from the annotation of a GenBank genome assembly. Lineage: Eukaryota; Metazoa; Chordata; Amphibia; Anura; Pelobatidae.